CAUGCGACACUUUCACUUUGCAGAGAAGUCUCCAUUUUUAAAACCCAUUUGUCUAAGCAGAGAUAUGACGGCUUAUUCUGAGAGGAACUCUGACAAACACGACGAUGCUGUUUCAUUUAUGUGUUCUUACUGUUAACAGGUUCAGCCUCUCUGCAUCAGGUAGCUGAAGGCACUGAAGGAAGCUCUGUCAUCUUGAAGUGCAGUCACAGACGUAUUGUGCUUGAAGAACAACAGCUGACAGUCCACUGGAGACACAACGACACCAGGAAUGUAUUCGAUAUUAUCCAUGGGAAAGUUUCUGUAAAGGAACAAAACUCGGCCUACAAGAACAGAACAGAAGUUUUACCUGAUGAGCUUAAGAAGGGUCAAGUCUUUCUCAGACUCACCGAUCUUCAGCUCUCUGAUGGAGGAACGUAUCUCUGCUUUGUCCCAGCUCUGGGACUUGAUCACAGCACACAGCUGGUGGUCAAAGAAAGAUCAUGCAUAACAUGCACAACUGCUGAAAUAAGAAGCCACGGUUCAGGAGCAAGGAUGGGAAGGACUCUGCACUUCCUAAUUCCUUCAUCUGGAUUCAUUGUACUUUAUUUGAUUAGAUAAUGAAGCAGUGAGUGAACCAAAUGAUUGUUCCAUGAUUGCUGCUAUGGCUCAAUUCAGACUAGAUAUGCACUGAUAUACACUGAUAUGGUUGUUUACUAUUUUUAAAAAAAACAGUUUCUAGCUGUGUCCUUGUAUACUUGUAUUCUAUGUACUGCACUGCCAUGUUUUUCACACACACUGUGACUUAAAAGCGCAUUGAAAUGAGACCUGAAGAUGAAUA
Molecule: RNA transcript, 817 nt
Organism: Sinocyclocheilus grahami
Lineage: Eukaryota; Metazoa; Chordata; Actinopteri; Cypriniformes; Cyprinidae
Gene name: V-set domain-containing T-cell activation inhibitor 1-like
Exons: 4
Source: RefSeq, a predicted model, not a curated record